Molecule: long non-coding RNA, 206 nt
Organism: Mustela erminea (ermine)
Lineage: Eukaryota; Metazoa; Chordata; Mammalia; Carnivora; Mustelidae
Exons: 3
Source: RefSeq, a predicted model, not a curated record
GGGGAGUUUCAAGUGAAAAGAUGCUCUUUUCUCUAGUAAAGAGAAGAGAUGGAGAAGAAAGCAGUCAAGGGUAUAACUCCUACAACAUCCUGAGAAUAAUUACCCAUACAUGAUGCAACGUUUAGUGUCCAUAUCCACAAAGGUCUUUCGAAUUCCUUUCUCUGCUAAAUUGGACGCUACUUGACUCCUGAAUUGCUGAAUAAAAG